This 28-nucleotide small RNA is filed under the name Bombyx mori (domestic silkworm). RNAcentral's name for it is "ovarian small RNA-21294". The record is from RNAcentral. Lineage: Eukaryota; Metazoa; Arthropoda; Insecta; Lepidoptera; Bombycidae.
UACUAGCCUGAGUAUACUUGUCUAUAUU